GACGAACGCUGGCGGCGUGCUUAACACAUGCAAGUCGAACGGAAAGGCCUCUUUCGGGGGGUACUCGAGUGGCGAACGGGUGAGUAACACGUGAGUAACCUGCCCUUGACUUUGGGAUAACUUCAGGAAACUGGGGCUAAUACCGGAUAGGAGCUCCUGCUGCAUGGUGGGGGUUGGAAAGUUUCGGCGGUUGGGGAUGGACUCGCGGCUCAUCAGCUUGUUGGUGGGGUAGUGGCUUACCAAGGCUUUGACGGGUAGCCGGCCUGAGAGGGUGACCGGCCACAUUGGGACUGAGAUACGGCCCAGACUCCUACGGGAGGCAGCAGUGGGGAAUAUUGCACAAUGGGUGGAAGCCUGAUGCAGCAACGCCGUGUGCGGGAUGACGGCCUUCGGGUUGUAAACCGCUUUCGCUCAUGACGAAGCUUUGUGUGACGGUAGUGGGUAAAGAAGCACCGGCUAACUACGUG
Molecule: ribosomal RNA, 467 nt
Filed under: uncultured bacterium
Lineage: Bacteria
Description: partial 16S ribosomal RNA
Rfam family: Bacterial small subunit ribosomal RNA
Source: RNAcentral